This 478-nucleotide ribosomal RNA is filed under the name uncultured bacterium. RNAcentral's name for it is "partial 16S ribosomal RNA". It matches the Rfam family "Bacterial small subunit ribosomal RNA", at positions 34 to 507 of the family's 1533-position model. The record is from RNAcentral.
UCUGCCCGCUGGCGGCGUGCUUAACACAUGCAAGUCGAACGAGAAAUGGAGACGGAAACCUUCGGGCGGAAGGCUUCAUUUCGAGUGGCGGACGGGUGAGUAACGCGUGGGUAACCUGCCUCAUACAGGGGGAUAACAGUUGGAAACGACUGUUAAUACCGCAUAAGACCACAGCACCGCAUGGUGCGGGGGUAAAAACUCCGGUGGUAUGAGAUGGACCCGCGUUCGAUUAGCCAGUUGGCGGGGUAACGGCCCACCAAAGCGACGAUCGAUAGCCGAUCUGAGAGGAUGACCGGCCACAUUGGGACUGAGACACGGCCCAAACUCCUACGGGAGGCAGCAGUGGGGAAUAUUGCACAAUGGGGGAAACCCUGAUGCAGCGACGCCGCGUGAGUGAAGAAGUACUUCGGUAUGUAAAGCUCUAUCAGCAGGGAAGAAAAUGACGGUACCUGAGUAAGAAGCCCCGGCUAACUACGUG